This 83-nucleotide microRNA precursor is filed under the name Homo sapiens (human). RNAcentral's name for it is "mir-1299 microRNA precursor family". It matches the Rfam family "mir-1299 microRNA precursor family". The record is from Rfam by way of RNAcentral. Lineage: Eukaryota; Metazoa; Chordata; Mammalia; Primates; Hominidae.
CCUCGUAGCAGUGUUCCGGAAUCCUAUGUGAGGGACAAAUAUUUAGACCCUCGUAGCAGUAUUCUGGAAUCCUAUGUGAUGGA